AAAGGAAAGCUUAAUCAUGGUCAAACUUUUCGAGCGUAAUAUUUAGAAUCUACGUACCACGAACAAAGAGCAUCUCAUAAUGUUUGCGAAUCGUUUUUAAGGCCUUGUCCUUAUCGGUCUCUUCAUCAUCAAAAAUAGUUACAAUUUCUUCAGCAUCUCCUAGUACCAUAUUCUAAAAUACGUGUAAGUAAUCCAUCCAAAUGCGAGUUAUGAAUAUGAUUCAUACCAAAUGUUCAUCAUAGGCCUACAAUCGAGUUAGUAUAACCAAUUCAGAAUAAGAAAAAUAUU
Molecule: non-coding RNA, 288 nt
Organism: Schizosaccharomyces pombe (fission yeast)
Lineage: Eukaryota; Fungi; Ascomycota; Schizosaccharomycetes; Schizosaccharomycetales; Schizosaccharomycetaceae
Source: the annotation of a GenBank genome assembly